RNAcentral lists this ribosomal RNA (304 nucleotides) under uncultured Planctomycetota bacterium. Its description in RNAcentral is "bacterial SSU rRNA". It matches the Rfam family "Bacterial small subunit ribosomal RNA", at positions 29 to 351 of the family's 1533-position model. Lineage: Bacteria; Pseudomonadati; Planctomycetota. The record is from RNAcentral.
AAUGAACGUUGGCGGCGUGGAUUAGGCAUGCAAGUCGAGCGAGAACCCCGCAAGGGGGGACAGCGGCAAACGGGGUAGUAAUGUGUCGGAACGUGCCCUCAGGUCGGGGAUAGCGGCGGGAAACUGCCGGUAAUACCCGAUGACCUCGAGAGAGCAAAGGUGUGACUCCGCCGGAGGAGCGGCCGACAUGGUAUUAGCUAGUUGGUAGGGUAAUGGCCUACCAAGGCGAUGAUGCCUAGGGGGUGUGAGAGCAUGGCCCCCACCAUUGGGACUGAGACACUGCCCAGACACCUACGGGUGGCAG